RNAcentral lists this small nucleolar RNA (125 nucleotides) under Echinops telfairi (small Madagascar hedgehog). RNAcentral describes it as "Small nucleolar RNA SNORA61 (ENSETEG00000024985.1)". Lineage: Eukaryota; Metazoa; Chordata; Mammalia; Afrosoricida; Tenrecidae. The record is from RNAcentral.
AACUCCAGAUCCCUUACCCAUCAGACUUAAACACUUGUCCAAGUGGUUAGAAAAUGGAAGAAAAAAUAAAAAUUGAAACAGACUUUAAAUUCUUUGCAUCACACAAAGCCCAGUUUCAAGCAGAC